Molecule: small nuclear RNA, 138 nt
Organism: Oryctolagus cuniculus (rabbit)
Lineage: Eukaryota; Metazoa; Chordata; Mammalia; Lagomorpha; Leporidae
Gene: U2
Rfam family: U2 spliceosomal RNA
About the family: U2 is a small nuclear RNA (snRNA) component of the spliceosome (involved in pre-mRNA splicing). Complementary binding between U2 snRNA (in an area lying towards the 5' end but 3' to hairpin I) and the branchpoint sequence (BPS) of the intron results the bulging out of an unpaired adenosine, on the BPS, which initiates a nucleophilic attack at the intronic 5' splice site, thus starting the first of two transesterification reactions that mediate splicing.
Source: Ensembl
AUUGCUUCGAGGCCUUUUGGCUAAGAUCAAGUGUAGUAUCUGUUCUUAUCAGUAUAUACUAAGUAAAGAUUUCAACAGACUGCACCCACACAGACAUAUAAAGUAUAAAGUACUGUUUGAAUAGUAGUUUUACCAUUA